UUCAUUCGCACUCCUCUAUCUAUCAAUGGCUCAACUCCUCUUAAAUUCUUCAUAUUCUUUCAUGCUCAGAUCUAUCAGCCCUUCUUUCAAAUCCAUUUACAACCAACUUUCUCUCAAAUCACAUAAAUCCUCAAAUCUUCCCCAGCUACCUCCUCAACUACUUUCCUAAGCCUCAUUAACCCGCAUAAUUUCUUAGUCACAGUUUAUUAUAUAUGGAAUCAGUGAGAUAAACCUUACUCAUGCAUCGCCUGCCACCCUAGUGCCAACCCAAGUGCUAAAGACAAAGUGGAUAAGGUGCUUGACUACUAAACCCCUACACUGAGGUCACUUCCUCCAGCUACCACUAGAAUGGGAUCAAGAUCCACUGUUUCAAGAUUGAGGCUUAAUGGCCCAAAUGGGUUUACAUUUGGGU
Quercus lobata is the source of this 412-nucleotide long non-coding RNA. RefSeq lists it as uncharacterized. The transcript has 3 exons. The record is from RefSeq and is a predicted model, not a curated record. NCBI's taxonomy places the organism in Eukaryota, Viridiplantae, Streptophyta, Magnoliopsida, Fagales, Fagaceae.